GACGAACGCUGGCGGCGUGCUUAACACAUGCAAGUCGAACGGGCCCGCCCCUGUUUUUGGGGGUGGGUUGAGUGGCGAACGGGUGAGUAUCACGUGAGUAACCUGCCCCCUGCUCCUGGAUAACUGCUUGAAAGGGCGGCUAAUACGGGGUGUGCCGGCUGGUCCGCAUGGGCCUGGUCGGGAUAGUUUCAUCUUCGGGUGUUUCGGUGGGGGAGGGGCUCGGGGCCUAUCAGCUUGUUGGUGGGGUGAUGGCCCACCAAGGGGGUGACGGGUAGCCGGCCUGAGAGGGUGGGCGGCCACACUGGGACUGAGACACGGCCCAGACUCCUGCGGGAGGCAGCAGUGGGGGGUAUUGCACAAUGGGCGGAAGCCUGAUGCAGCGACGUCGCGUGAGGGAUGGAGGCCUUCGGGUUGUGAACCUCUUUCUCCGGUGGUGAAGGCCCUGUCCGUUGCGGCGGGGUUGACGGUAGCCGGGUAUGAAGCGCCGGCUAACUACGUG
RNAcentral lists this ribosomal RNA (499 nucleotides) under uncultured bacterium. RNAcentral's name for it is "partial 16S ribosomal RNA". It matches the Rfam family "Bacterial small subunit ribosomal RNA", at positions 28 to 507 of the family's 1533-position model. The record is from RNAcentral.